AGCGAACGCUGGCGGCAUGCCUAACACAUGCAAGUCGAACGAUGCCUUCGGGCAUAGUGGCGCACGGGUGCGUAACGCGUGGGAAUCUGCCUUUCGGUUCGGAAUAACUCAGGGAAACUUGAGCUAAUACCGGAUAACGUCGCAAGACCAAAGAUUUAUCACCGAAAGAUGAGCCCGCGUAGGAUUAGCUAGUUGGUGAGGUAAAGGCUCACCAAGGCGACGAUCCUUAGCUGGUCUGAGAGGAUGAUCAGCCACACUGGGACUGAGACACGGCCCAGACUCCUACGGGAGGCAGCAGUGGGGAAUAUUGGACAAUGGGCGAAAGCCUGAUCCAGCAAUGCCGCGUGAGUGAUGAAGGCCUUAGGGUUGUAAAGCUCUUUUACCCGGGAAGAUAAUGACGGUACCGGGAGAAUAAGCCCCGGCUAACUCCGUG
This 433-nucleotide ribosomal RNA is filed under the name uncultured bacterium. RNAcentral describes it as "partial 16S ribosomal RNA". It matches the Rfam family "Bacterial small subunit ribosomal RNA", at positions 29 to 507 of the family's 1533-position model. The record is from RNAcentral.